This 795-nucleotide long non-coding RNA is filed under the name Fukomys damarensis (Damara mole-rat). Its description in RNAcentral is "lncRNA (ENSFDAG00000025980.1)". Lineage: Eukaryota; Metazoa; Chordata; Mammalia; Rodentia; Bathyergidae. The record is from RNAcentral.
ACCCCCCGCCCCCUGCCCUUCUCGAGGGCAGCAGCAGCGGCCCGGAGAAAGCGCUGGCGCGGCUCAGGCUCUGCCUAGGCAGAAACUUGUGACAUCUUGGCAGUCAGCAUGGAAGUGUGCUGGGGGAGAUGCACACUUUUCCUGGCAGUGAAAUGAGCUCUCUGGACUCAGGCACACAGAAGGCUGCUAGAAACCUGGGUCUCCAGCUCUCCUGUGCCCAUUGCACAGCGUAGACCCGCAGAUCGCCCUCGGGAAAGACAGAAUGCUCUGACCCCAGCACAAACGGACAUCCACGAUAUCUCCACUCUAAUUAGUAGAGCAGAGGAGAGAUGAACAGAGCAGAGGCCCGAGCUUUUCUGGUCAUAUGCCACAACUUUAAAGAGGAUGGUAUUCCUCCAAAACCUCCCUCAACUCCCCAGUACUGAAGCAAACUCUGUAACAGCACAAGUGCGGCUAGAAGAGAGAAAGGAAGAUUUCAUGCAAUUGCAGGGCGUCCACAGUGGGUCCUCCUCCAAGGAAGGUGUUAAAAAUAUAAGUAGUAUGUUUAAACUGUCAGGGAUCCAAAGUGUCACAUUAGGGCAAAAACAAAGCCAGAGGGAAAGGGAGAAAUCAAAAACCACUUCGGGCCAGGGUGGCCUCAUGCAUACCAAUGGUUUUUGUCAUUUAUGGCUGGGCAAGAUUUAUGACUCGGCGCCCCAAAGCUGUAAACAGAGCGCAAAACAGCAAACACUUGUUCCUUAUGGCAUAUUGCAGCGGUGCAACUUGAAAGGGGGAACCGGGCCGCGUAGGAGCUAA